RNAcentral lists this ribosomal RNA (251 nucleotides) under uncultured prokaryote. RNAcentral's name for it is "partial 16S ribosomal RNA". It matches the Rfam family "Bacterial small subunit ribosomal RNA", at positions 525 to 775 of the family's 1533-position model. The record is from RNAcentral.
ACGUAGGGGACAAGCGUUAUCCGGAUUUACUGGGCGUAAAGCGCGCGCAGGUGGUCGAGCAAGUUGGCCGUGAAAGCUCCCGGCUUAACUGGGAGAGGUCGGUCAAAACUACUCGGCUAGAGGAUGGAGCAGGAGCGUAGAAUUCCCGGUGUAGUGGUGAAAUGCGUAGAGAUCCGGAGGAACCCCGAUGGCGAAGGCGACUUGCUGGGCCUGAACUGACGCUCAGACGCGAAAGCAUGGGGAGCGAACGG